UGCAAACCUCUCUCCAUCCACUACUUCAUGACACAUCGUAGCUAGAUCGAUACGGCACGACGAAGCCCUGCUGGAGUAGCUCCACCACCAUCACCGCCACGCCGUCGUGCUGCCGAAGAAUUUAGCUACCUGCCUACCUCUUCGUCUCUCUUGCUCGAUCAAGAAGGCGAAGAUCGUCAUCGAGCUGUACGUGUGCUGAACGCGGAGGUGUCGUCCGUUCGGUGGAAGAUCAGGACUGAUCGUGGGACUGCGGCGAUUUGGAUCGCGAAGACGUUCCACUACAUCAACCGCAUUUCUUAAUGCUUCCCGC
RNAcentral lists this long non-coding RNA (310 nucleotides) under Hordeum vulgare. RNAcentral's name for it is "long non-coding RNA (HVUL_LNC018466)". The record is from RNAcentral. Lineage: Eukaryota; Viridiplantae; Streptophyta; Magnoliopsida; Poales; Poaceae.